RNAcentral lists this ribosomal RNA (206 nucleotides) under uncultured bacterium. RNAcentral describes it as "partial 16S ribosomal RNA". It matches the Rfam family "Bacterial small subunit ribosomal RNA", at positions 568 to 774 of the family's 1533-position model. The record is from RNAcentral.
AGCGCAGGCGGUUUGAUAAGUCUGAAGUAAAAGGCUGUGGCUUAACCAUAGUAUGCUUUGGAAACUGUCAAACUUGAGUGCAGAAGGGGAGAGUGGAAUUCCAUGUGUAGCGGUGAAAUGCGUAGAUAUAUGGGGGAACACCGGUGGCGAAAGCGGCUCUCUGGUCUGUAACUGACGCUGAGGCUCGAAAGCGUGGGGAGCAAACA